This 213-nucleotide ribosomal RNA is filed under the name uncultured bacterium. Its description in RNAcentral is "partial 16S ribosomal RNA". It matches the Rfam family "Bacterial small subunit ribosomal RNA", at positions 389 to 596 of the family's 1533-position model. The record is from RNAcentral.
CAGCCAUGCCGCGUGUGUGAAGAAGGCCUUCGGGUUGUAAAGCACUUUCAGCGAGGAGGAAGGCGUUAAGGUUAAUAACCUAGCGAUUGACGUUACUCGCACAAGAAGCACCGGCUAACUCCGUGCCGGCAGCCGCGGUAAUACGGAGGGUGCAAGCGUUAAUCGGAAUUACUGGGCGUAAAGCGCACGCAGGCGGUUGUUAAGUCAGAUGUG